UACGUAGGGUCCGAGCGUUGUCCGGAAUUACUGGGCGUAAAGAGCUCGUAGGUGGUUUGUCACGUUGUUCGUGAAAACCCACAGCUCAACUGUGGGCGUGCGAGCGAUACGGGCAGACUAGAGUACUGCAGGGGAGACUGGAAUUCCUGGUGUAGCGGUGGAAUGCGCAGAUAUCGGGAAGAACACCCGUGGCUAAGGCGGCUCUCUAGUACGGUACUGACGCUGAGACGCGAAAGCGUGGGGAGCGAACAGG
This 253-nucleotide ribosomal RNA is filed under the name uncultured bacterium. RNAcentral describes it as "partial 16S ribosomal RNA". It matches the Rfam family "Bacterial small subunit ribosomal RNA", at positions 524 to 776 of the family's 1533-position model. The record is from RNAcentral.